ACAGCAGUCGCCGCGGUAAUACGAGGGGUGCAAGCGUUAAUCGGAAUUACUGGGCGUAAAGCGUGCGUAGGCGGUUUGUUAAGUCUGUUGUGAAAUCCCGGGGCUCAACCCCGGAACUGCAUCCGAUACUGCCAUGCUAGAGGAUUGGAGAGGUAGCUGGAAUUCUUGGUGUAGCAGUGAAAUGCGUGGAGAUCAAGAGGAACACUCGUGGCGAAAGCGAGCUACUGGACAAUAACUGACGCUGAGGCUCGAAGGCCAGGGUAGCGAAAGGGAUUAGAUACCCCAGUAGUCCCUGUCUCUUAUAC
RNAcentral lists this ribosomal RNA (305 nucleotides) under uncultured bacterium. RNAcentral describes it as "partial 16S ribosomal RNA". It matches the Rfam family "Bacterial small subunit ribosomal RNA", at positions 508 to 807 of the family's 1533-position model. The record is from RNAcentral.